AGCAGCGUGGCGCAGUGGAAGCGUGCUGGGCCCAUAACCCAGAGGUCGGUGGAUCGAAAUCACUCGCUGCUA
Angiostrongylus cantonensis (rat lungworm) is the source of this 72-nucleotide non-coding RNA. NCBI's taxonomy places the organism in Eukaryota, Metazoa, Nematoda, Chromadorea, Rhabditida, Metastrongylidae. The record is from Rfam.